This 253-nucleotide ribosomal RNA is filed under the name uncultured bacterium. RNAcentral's name for it is "partial 16S ribosomal RNA". It matches the Rfam family "Bacterial small subunit ribosomal RNA", at positions 524 to 776 of the family's 1533-position model. The record is from RNAcentral.
UACGAAAGGGGCUAGCGUUGUUCGGAAUUACUGGGCGUAAAGCGCGCGUAGGCGGCCUAGCAAGUUGGGGGUGAAAGCCCAGAGCUCAACCCUGGAAUUGCCUCCAAAACUGCUAAGCUCGAGGCCGAGAGAGGAGUGUGGAAUUCCUAGUGUAGAGGUGAAAUUCGUAGAUAUUAGGAAGAACACCGGUGGCGAAGGCGACACUCUGGCUCGGUACUGACGCUGAGGCUCGAAAUCGUGGGGAGCAAACAGG